Molecule: transfer RNA, 88 nt
Filed under: FCB group bacterium
Lineage: Bacteria; Pseudomonadati
Description: tRNA-Ser
Rfam family: tRNA
About the family: Transfer RNA (tRNA) molecules are approximately 80 nucleotides in length. Their secondary structure includes four short double-helical elements and three loops (D, anti-codon, and T loops).
Source: RNAcentral
GGAGGACUAGUCUAAUUGGUAAGGCAGCGGAUUUGAAAUCCGCCGCGGUUUAUCCCGCUUCGGGGUUCGAGUCCCCGGUCCUCCGCCA